AUGGCCUCCCCGCAAUCCUCCUACGGCUCAUCCGAGGAAGGCACCUCCUCCGACGGUUCUGACCACCAAGAGGUGGACAAGCUGCCUUUAAACCAAGCUUUGGCGCACCACGACUCCUCCAACGGAGAAGAAUCAGAGGAGGAGGAGACGGGGGAUAAAGAAGAAUCGGAGGAGGAGAAUGUGCUGCCCGACGACAAUAACCUCCACCCGCCACCACUGCAAGGCGACACGGUCCCAGAUUCCGAAUCUGAGUCCGACAAGUCGCCGCGCAGGUCCCAGCCCAAGAGGAAGGCCGUGGAUUCCGAACCUGUCGAGCCCAAGAGGACGAGGAUGGCCGAGUCGCCGCAGCCGAGGAUGCAAUCUGAGGUCGCUGAAGUUGCUCAGAUUCAACCUGAGGUCGCUGAGCAUGCUCUGACUAAGAGCGAUGUGGAGAAGCUAUUCCAAGACAAGAUCGUUUCUUAUGAGCACCUUGGGCAAGAGGUGUUGGCCCUAGAGAAGAAAUAUCCUGGAUUUUUCAAGUCUCCCUUCGUGAAGCUUCCUGAAGAGAAGGCCAGGACACUCAAUGCCAAACUUCAGAACCACCACAUUGCAAAAAUAAAGGCAUCGAUACAGCUGGGUAAUAUCAGAAAGGAGGUGACAAACUCCCUCAUCAAUUUACUCGACUGA
This 666-nucleotide ribosomal RNA is filed under the name Triticum aestivum (bread wheat). RNAcentral describes it as "partial small subunit ribosomal RNA". Lineage: Eukaryota; Viridiplantae; Streptophyta; Magnoliopsida; Poales; Poaceae. The record is from RNAcentral.